RNAcentral lists this unclassified non-coding RNA (348 nucleotides) under soil metagenome. RNAcentral's name for it is "partial contains 5.8S ribosomal RNA, internal transcribed spacer 2, and large subunit ribosomal RNA". The stretch from base 1 to 120 matches the Rfam family "5.8S ribosomal RNA", at positions 35 to 154 of the family's 154-position model. The record is from RNAcentral.
GAUGAAGAACGCAGCGAAAUGCGAUAAGUAAUGUGAAUUGCAGAAUUCAGUGAAUCAUCGAAUCUUUGAACGCACAUUGCGCCCGCCAGUAUUCUGGCGGGCAUGCCUGUCUGAGCGUCAUUUCAACCCUCAUGCCCCUAGGGCGUGGUGUUGGGGAUCGGCCAAAGCCCGCGAGGGACGGCCGGCCCCUAAAUCUAGUGGCGGACCCGUCGUGGCCUCCUCUGCGAAGUAGUGAUAUUCCGCAUCGGAGAACGAUGAGCCCCUGCCGUUAAACCCCCAACUUUCCAAGGUUGACCUCAGAUCAGGUAGGAAUACCCGCUGAACUUAAGCAUAUCAAUAAGCGGAGGA